UGCGGAAACGAGAGCCAAGUUUUUAAGCGGGGGCGCCACAUGAAGACGCUCUAAACUCAGAUUUUGUUUCAGCUUUCUAAAACCCAAAAUCACGAAUUUCACUCUCUCAUUUCCAGAGAAAUCUACGAACUAACAAUGUCGGCUGCGAAAACAAGCUCCAAGAAACGAGCCGCUGAAUCGGUACUCACCAAAUCGGACUCCAAAUUCCGUGUCGAGGACGACUUCGAUGUCGAUCUUUCCAGCGAUAUUAAGGGGAUAAUGUCAGCGCUGCAACAAAUAAAAGAGAAAGCACAAAAGGACGAUCAAAAGAAGAACGAGGAAACAAUUUCAAGUGUGGCGUCUGACAUCAGGUCCAUGAUUGAUGAGUUGAAAUCGAAAAUUGAAAAGGACAGGCAAAGUUUUGCAAAGGCACUUUCAAAGAGCUCGAAAGAGUGUGAGAACUGCCUGAAAAAUGAGAGUACCAAGUUUAAAGAGAUAUAUGAAAAAUUUUGCAAGGAGAAAGAAGCUCAUUUGCAGGCCUUAAAAGAUACCAUUUCCAAAUAUGAAGAAGACAAGGACAGGCUGUUCGUGCGAUAUGAACAAUUAAGGAAGAAAGAGAAAAAUAUGAUAUCUGAACAAGAGAAAACUUGUGCUGAUAAGAUUGCUAGAUUGGAGGAGUCCUUAAAAAGGAAAAAACAGGAUGACAAAACUUUCAGCAUUUUGAGGAAAACGCUUGGCUCAUUCCUAGGAAAUGCCUCAGAUGAGGACUUCCCACCAGAUGAUUAAGAGAUCGCAUUAGAAGACAGCAUGGCGAGUGCAAGCCUUCAGCUGUAGACAUAGCUACUUCCUAUCCCAAAACAAUUUAGCUUAUGAAAUCCUGUCUGCGAAAGACUUGUCAAGCAAAAUUUUAGCAGCGAAGGCCUUAGUCUACUGAACAUACUCAUGGGUGGUAUAGUACUGUGCCUAAAAGGUCGGCAAAUUUCAUACCAUUCACGGAGAAGGAAUAUCAAAAUCAGAUUUUCUUGCUUGUAGAGUUGACCUGACAUAUAGUUAUCUCAGAAGAUAAAAUGGGGGGAGAGAGAGGGAUAAUGUCUAAUCCAAGCAUCUACAUUUGCAACUAAAAUAAACCAUAACUUCAGUUAGGACUUAAGGCUUCCUGUCAAAUAAGAAAUUUGAUUGAUCACAAGAAACCAAACAGCUAAUUAGUUAGAAGACAG
Jatropha curcas is the source of this 1196-nucleotide RNA transcript. It is a transcript of the gene named DNA ligase-like protein, with no coding region annotated. The record is from RefSeq and is a predicted model, not a curated record. NCBI's taxonomy places the organism in Eukaryota, Viridiplantae, Streptophyta, Magnoliopsida, Malpighiales, Euphorbiaceae.